RNAcentral lists this ribosomal RNA (1309 nucleotides) under Atlanticus sp. ZJZ-2017. RNAcentral's name for it is "16S ribosomal RNA". The stretch from base 618 to 1309 matches the Rfam family "Archaeal large subunit ribosomal RNA", at positions 1423 to 2808 of the family's 2987-position model. Lineage: Eukaryota; Metazoa; Arthropoda; Insecta; Orthoptera; Tettigoniidae. The record is from RNAcentral.
AAGUAAAGCUUUAAAUUUUUUGUUGUAGAUAGUGUAUAUUAAUGGAAGUAAUCUUAAAUUGAAAGUUAUAGUAUAGGAAUAGAAUGAAUUAGCUUAUUGAUAGUUGAUUAGUAUUGUGAAAGAAUGGUGAAAAAUUUUGAAAAAUGGAUUUUAUAUAAGUAGAUUUUUGUUGUACCUUGUGUAUCAGGGUUUAUUAAAAUAAGAUUAAGGAUACUAUUUUUCCCGAAUUGGAAAGAGUUAAUUUAUUAGGUUGGUUAAUGUAAUACUAUUAUCAAUAAUAAUAAGUUAGUAAUGAAAUGUUAGUCGAUUUCUAAUAUAUCUGGUUCUCUGAGAAAUGAAUUUAAUUCAGUGUUUUUGUAGUAAUUUUUUGUAUUAGUGCAUUAAUUAUUAGUUGAAUAUAAUGUUUUAAGGGAUAAGCUUUAAAAUAGGUGUUAUAAUUAUUGUAGUGUUGUAUUAAAUUGUAGGCUUUAAAGUAGCCAUCAUAUUGAUAGUGUUAUAAAUCAUUUUAUUUUAAUAUAAUUUUAUAAUAAUGUUAAAUAGUGUAUCAGAGUGAAUCAUUAAAUUUAUAUUUGAUUGUAAUAAUGAUAUAAUUAGUAUAUUUGUAUUGUGAUAAAUUUUUAUAGUGUUAAUUUAUAUUAAGGAACUAGGCAAAAUUGAUAUUCGCCUGUUUAUCAAAAACAUGUCCUUUUGAGUUUAAUUUAAGGUCGGGCCUGCCCACUGGUAGAACUAAAGGGCCGCGGUAUCCUGACCGUGCAAAGGUAGCAUAAUCAUUAGUCUUUUAAUUGAAGGCUGGAAUGAAUGGUUUGACGAAAUAUCAACUGUCUCAGUAUAAUUGGUAGAAUUUAACCUCUGGGUUAAAAGGCCUAGAUAUAUAUAAAAGACGAGAAGACCCUAUAGAUCUUUAUAUAGAAGUGUUUUUAUAUUGUUUAGUGGAUUUGUUUAUAGAAAUAUUGUUAUAUUUUGUUGGGGUGACAUGAAGAUAUAAUAAACUCUUUAUGGUUAUAACAUUGAUUUAUGGAUUGUUGAUCCGUUAUUAGCGAUUAUAAGAUAAAGUUACCUUAGGGAUAACAGCGUAAUUUUUUUUGAGAGUUCUUAUCGACAAGAAAGAUUGCGACCUCGAUGUUGGAUUAAGGAAUAUAAUUAGGUGUAGAAGUUUAAUUAAUAAGUCUGUUCGACUUUUAAACCCUUACAUGAUCUGAGUUCAGACCGGCGUGAGCCAGGUCGGUUUCUAUCUUUAUAGUAGGAGAGUAUUUUAGUACGAAAGGACCAGAUACUUGAAAUAAUUUUUAUAUAGGAUAGCGAUUAAUAU